This 1231-nucleotide long non-coding RNA is filed under the name Homo sapiens (human). RNAcentral's name for it is "HSALNT0022699". Lineage: Eukaryota; Metazoa; Chordata; Mammalia; Primates; Hominidae. The record is from RNAcentral.
CACAACAUCUGAAACCCCACCCCAAAAGAGGAUUCAGAAGGUUGUUUUGAGAGAAGGAAAAUUGCAGACAACAGGGAAGACUUCUCCAUCAUGAAAGCUUUAAGUUAGGAGAAAAAGGGAGACGAAAGACCAUUGGAAGGAUGCAGACCAGCAGCCUCCGUCCCCUUAACUGGCUGAGCUGCUGGUUUGAGCUAUCUUCUGCAGCUUACAGAAAAUCAAGCUUCUCCCCAAAGAAGAAAUGAAGAUAACUACCCAAAAGGCCGAUGGCUUUACAGCUUGGCAGACAUUGGAAUCCCCUGGAGAACUCUUUUUUUGACACCUGGUGAGGUCUGUGGAGAGAAACCUGCAAGGGAGUGUGAAUCUUCCCUUGUUUUUUUUUUUGCCCCUGGAAACCACCAUUCAACUUUCUGUCUCUGUGAAUUUCACUGUUCUAUGUACCUCAUUUUCGAACUCUCCAGACCUGGCUAAUUACAAAUGACGUGUAUGCACAAAAGGUUAUCAUGGAGCUGCGGUUCACCUUCCAGUGAUGAUCAUCCCACAGCCCCAACCCACACCCUCCACCAACACACAAUUUUAUACACAUAGUGCACACAUACCCCACACCACAAAAUUACCCUCACACACAUGCACCACACAGAGCCCAGACCACACAUUCCUAUACACCACAUGCAUGCAACGCACAUACCAGACACACACAUACACCCGACACACUACACACACCACACACACCCCACACCCCACAACACACCACACACACGCAGUCUGCAGGCUGUCUGGAGGCUGCUGCUGCUAUCCAGAGAGACGUGGUGAAAAGACUAAGCUUUUAGGGACCAUGCAGGCUCAGAAACGGACAAGAGGAAAGAGCUGCGACAAGCAGGUUUUGCUGCAAAGAGGAUAUUAGAGCUAAUUAGACUCACAGCUUUGGACGGACCUCUGAAUAACCAAUAAGUUAUCUCUUAUGGAAACAUGCUAGCCAGCACAGCCAUCCUCUGCCUUAAUCGCACGUCUCUGCGGCCAUAAGCUUCCACUGGCUCCUACAAACUGAAUAUAAAAAACUAAGAGACAAGUGAGCAUCGGCACCCCUGCUGGGAAGGGCCCACUUUUCCCAUUCAAGUUGGGGUAUCAAGGUUUUGAGAGCUCAGAAUAUGAUGAAGUGCACAGCUACCACCUCUCUGGGAUGAAAGAACUGAGUUGUUCAUGUACUUCCUGGCAUUUCUUACCGUCUCACCAG